Molecule: long non-coding RNA, 347 nt
Organism: Colias croceus (clouded yellow)
Lineage: Eukaryota; Metazoa; Arthropoda; Insecta; Lepidoptera; Pieridae
Exons: 3
Source: RefSeq, a predicted model, not a curated record
AGGACAAAUAGUGGCAUAAUACCAAAGCGCAGUAUUGUGGGAUGUGGCUCCGGAAAGAAUGAAAACUAGAAAAGUUUGUCUUUGCACCGGUUACCAAGAAGUGAAAAUAGAAAAGGAGAAUGGUUAGAAGCAAUUGAAACUGAAAAUAUCAAGCCAAAUGUAAAGGAUAUAAUAUCAUAGUAUGUUCCCUACAUUUCCCCGAAAGUGCUUUCAAUAGAACAAUGGAUGUGAUUAGUCUGCACGAUGAUGCUAUACCAGUAUGUCUGCCGCUGCAUUCACACAGGGUACCAGUUGAGCCUCAAAUCCCGUACUCAAAAAUGAACAGAGUGUAUUCGAGUGCAUUCCAG